This is a non-coding RNA of Acanthosepion pharaonis, 114 nucleotides long. The record is from the annotation of a GenBank genome assembly. Lineage: Eukaryota; Metazoa; Mollusca; Cephalopoda; Sepiida; Sepiidae.
UUACGGCCUUAUCGUACAGAAACACCGGUUCUAGUUCGAUUAACGAAGUUAAGCAACGUCGUUUCUGGUAAGUACCUAGAUAGGUGACAGCUUGGGAAUACCAAGUGCUGUAAG